GGUGGAGCUAUCUUAUUACAAUAUCACAGGCUUAAAGCUACACUACACGCAGCUGGAUAAUGUAGUAAAUUUGUGCACGUGUGAAGUGCAUCAUGGCGUUAUCAUGGCAGAUUAAGUCACCGGCGACGGCGUAAAGAUGACAUCCAUGUGUACAUUAUUCAGCGCGAUUAUUUGUGGCCAGGCAGAGGAUGGAGUGGAGGCGAAUCGGCCUACCGUUGGCAUCAUGUCUUGCAAGAUCGUUUUUUCUCUCUCUUCUUCUCAGCGGUGCGGUGCAUGAUCGGUUUGCAUCCAGUUCCAUCCAUCCUAUCUCCGCCGUGCUUUCGGCCGUCAACUUGUGUGGUUUAUGCAUCAUCAGAAUGGCGCCUCCUUUUCGGCAAAAAAAAACUCGGACCGAAGAGGAGAACCGCACAUCUCUGAAUCUGGAC
RNAcentral lists this long non-coding RNA (425 nucleotides) under Hordeum vulgare. RNAcentral's name for it is "long non-coding RNA (HVUL_LNC005828)". Lineage: Eukaryota; Viridiplantae; Streptophyta; Magnoliopsida; Poales; Poaceae. The record is from RNAcentral.